This 256-nucleotide ribosomal RNA is filed under the name uncultured bacterium. RNAcentral's name for it is "partial 16S ribosomal RNA". It matches the Rfam family "Bacterial small subunit ribosomal RNA", at positions 96 to 353 of the family's 1533-position model. The record is from RNAcentral.
UGGCGAACGGGUGAGUAACACGUGAGUGAUCUGCCCUCAACUUCGGGAUAAGCCUGGGAAACUGGGUCUAAUACUGGAUAGGACCAUCCUUUAGUGUGUGAUGGUGGAAAGUUUUUCGGUUGGGGAUGAGCUCGCGGCCUAUCAGCUUGUUGGUGGGGUAAUGGCCUACCAAGGCGUCGACGGGUAGCCGGCCUGAGAGGGUGUACGGCCACAUUGGGACUGAGACACGGCCCAGACUCCUACGGGAGGCAGCAUG